Molecule: long non-coding RNA, 3087 nt
Filed under: Homo sapiens (human)
Lineage: Eukaryota; Metazoa; Chordata; Mammalia; Primates; Hominidae
Description: HSALNT0296465
Source: RNAcentral
GAGUAUUCAUGGUUAGAGUCUCAGUCUCUAUUACGGGCCCUAGUACACUUCAGGAACUCAAAAGCUUUGCUGAUAUAAUGCAAGGUGAUAAAAAAGUAGAAAGACUUGGGAUAAUCUUGAUUUCUGAAGGCAUCAAACGGGAAUUAGAGAAAGCAGCAGGAAAAACGAAGGCCUUUUUAAGUUCCAUGAGAACUACGGUUUGCAAGACUGGUCAAAACAGUACAAUGCAAGCGGCAAGAAUCAGGAAGUGCACAGAAACAAGAAGCUCGGUGCACACUGGGAUCAGGCAAGCAUCUGGGAGAAGACUGUAGCAAGACUGGAUCCUGAGAAAUAUACAGAGUUCAGAGGCUCCAUGGCUACACUUUGGGCAUGUAUGUCAUUACAGGAAUGAAAAAAAGAUGAUGGCCAAAUGCUGUAUUAAAAUCCCAUUAGAAAUGCCGGGAGAAAUUUAUGGCCCCAAUCUCUUUUAUCUGACAGCAGUUCCCAUGUGAUCCAUCAGGCUCUGAACAUGAAUUUUAAUGGGCUCAGAACCACUUCUCUACCCUGAGGUCACAGGCUGUCAGAGUGAAUCUUCCACAAACUGAUUGGAACCUGAAGAAUUUGCUCUGUCAAGAGAGGAAAAAAGGCAUAAACCUUAGGUGGUAUGGAGAAUGAGGAAAGGGGAGGAGAAGGAGAAAUCCAAAAGAUAGGUGGAAAACCAUGGGAGCAAAUCAAGGCAGGAAAUCAGAGAAAUCAAAGCCAGAGAGCAUCUCAGGAAGAGCUGAUGGCUACCAGCACUGAAUACCACAGAGAUUAUUACAUCGCAAGACAAUGCAUCGCUCCAGCAAGGAUAACAAAGCGAAUGGGAAGGAAAGGGUUAUGAAGAGUUCAUGGAAGGCACCUUAGGCAGACUACUUUUAGGAAAGAGUGGAUGUGGAAGCUAAGUAUCUGGAAAUUGAUUUCCUUAGAACAGUUUGUGUUUGCAUGUCUUCUGAAAGGUUUUAUGUACUCCCAAGAGUGAAGCAGCAAGUCUUGCUUAAGCAAAGCUGGUGAAAUCAGAGCCUGGUCCAAGGCUCAGAAGCGUUUGCGGGGAAAAGCAAACACUUUUUGUGGGAGAAGGAAACAAAGGAGAAGAGAGGAGGAGGAAGAAAUUGAAAAAGAAGGGGAAGAGAAGAGGAAAAGAAAAAGAGACGUUGAGAGAAAGAAAAACAGAGAGCUGUGUGUGAUUGGAUGCCAUGACUCCUCAGUCUUAGUGCUAAUGCCGUUGUUACCUAACUCUAUUUAGGGAACUUUCCAGAACAAAGCGAAGCUUUGUGGGCCUGGCUUUCAGAACUUAUGCAACAAUUGUUUUGGGAGCAGACUGAAAAUUUUACAAGAGAACUGAGUUUUCAAGAGACUGACGGUGUGACCAAAAGAUCAAAGGUUUGGUGCAGUGGGACUAAGUUUCAGGCAGCCUUUCAAAUUGUGAAGACUUUCCUCCCUGUUAUGGCAGUUAAGACAUGUGAAAAUGGUAGUUCGAGACACUUAUAAGCAACUUUCUUCUUAGUUCACAAUGUUCCAUGAAUGUCAGUGCCCUCCAAACUCACGAGAACAAAGCAGGCAACCAGGAUGAUUACUCCCAAAUCAUUGAUAAAAGGAGAGAGAAGUACAGAGAUACACAGUGAUUUGUGUGGGUUGCCAAAAAGUUGCACGGUCAGUUUGACAACUGUUAUUGCCUUCAGGUUGACAAAUUGCAAAAGCAGCAUUGCUGUGUAUGGGUGGGGAGGGAGGAGGAAUUGCAUGAGUAAGAAUGAGAUGAGCAAUAGUUAGGUGGGGUGGAAAUGAAAUCUCAACAGUUAUUGGGGAUUCUGAUGUAUUUAUCAAACCAAAAGACGAUCUAAAAGCCAUACAAUCAGACUUAGAUUAGGGCAGUCUGUGAUAAGCAAAAGUUAAUAUAGUGUGUUGUUUUUGAAAAUAUGGCAUGAUAAUUAAUAGCAACUCUUUUUGUAUACUUGCUUGGUUAACAGGAGGAAACACAGAUAAAUUAAAUACUGGUUAGCAAUCUUUAAUAACCAGGAGAUGCUUAACAUUUAUUUAGAAAUCUGCAACAUUUUAUAAAUCAUUGUUUUGGCUUCUGGGACAAACUCAGAAUCUGGAACCCACGGAAACCCUUCAGUUACACAAAGGCUUUCCAGUUCAUUGCUACUGCACUGAAGAACAGUCUUCACAACUAUACCUGGAACUUACUAGGCCAAGAAGGCAAGGCGUUGGUAUGUGUUUUUAUUGUAGUUAAACUUAUCUGGAUUUAAAAGGCAUUAACUAUCUUCUGAUUUCUUCCUUUUUCUUCAAUUGUACAAGAGUGUUUCAAUUGAAUAUUGCAACUGAAGACAUUCACUCUGCGUUGAUCACCUAUGGAGUGAUCAAAUUUCAACCCUUUGAAGUUUCCUAAAUGAAAGAGGCACUCUGAAUUCAAAGGCUGUUUGAAUGAACUGACUGCUUCAGCACUGUCUUGUAGAUAUAGUCCAUUCAAAUAAAAGACAAAUAUCUGACUGAAUUUUGUUAGCACGUUAAGACAUGUAUUAUAAAAAGGUUUAAGAAGAAAAUAAUGGCCACAAUUCUUCAGAAAACAUGUGAACUAAUGUGACAAAACACUGUGGUGUUGCAAACUCAAGUGCUGCUCUGGCCAAGUCACCUCGCUGAAAUCUCCACUUCCACUUGUGCAACCUACCAAGCCACUCUCUACACAGCUGCCAGAGUGAUUACAAAAACAACGCGGGAUUAUGCUACCCCUGCUUAUCUAAAAUUUGUCAAAAUGCCCGUUACACUUUGAAUAAAAUACAGAUUCCUCUCAGAUCUCAUUUCUUAUCAUGUCUUUCUCAAUCAUUAUGUUCCAGCCUCACUGACCUUCUUUCUGUUCCUGUAAAAUAUUCCUGCCUCAAGGGCGCAGGCCUACGACCUGCAGUUCUCUUUUUCCCACAUGUGACCAGGCUCUCUCUUAGCCAUCAGGUCUCAAAUAAGCUCUUUCCGUUCUGUCUAGGCAUCUUAUCAAAAUCAACCUGUGUAUUAUUAUUCAUUUAUCACAUAAUCUUGUUUUAUUUUCCUCAUAGCACUCUCACUUUCUGAAAUUAU